GCCUGGCUGGCUCAGUCAGUAGAGCAUGUGACUCUUGAGCUCAAGGUCGUGAGUUCAAGCCCUACGUUGGGCA
This 73-nucleotide transfer RNA is filed under the name Ailuropoda melanoleuca (giant panda). It matches the Rfam family "tRNA". From Rfam's summary of the family: Transfer RNA (tRNA) molecules are approximately 80 nucleotides in length. Their secondary structure includes four short double-helical elements and three loops (D, anti-codon, and T loops). Lineage: Eukaryota; Metazoa; Chordata; Mammalia; Carnivora; Ursidae. The record is from Rfam by way of RNAcentral.